Molecule: ribosomal RNA, 253 nt
Filed under: uncultured bacterium
Lineage: Bacteria
Description: partial 16S ribosomal RNA
Rfam family: Bacterial small subunit ribosomal RNA
Source: RNAcentral
UACGAAGGGGGCUAGCGUUGUUCGGAUUUACUGGGCGUAAAGCGCACGUAGGCGGAUUGUUAAGUCAGGGGUGAAAUCCUGGAGCUCAACUCCAGAACUGCCUUUGAUACUGAGGAGCUUGAGUCCGGGAGAGGUGAGUGGAACUGCGAGUGUAGAGGUGAAAUUCGUAGAUAUUCGCAAGAACACCAGUGGCGAAGGCGGCUCACUGGCCCGGUACUGACGCUGAGGUGCGAAAGCGUGGGGAGCAAACAGG